GGGUGGGCAAAGAUUCCCAAAGAUGAAGGUGGUGAAGAGUAGACAGCAAAGUCACACACCAGAAGACAGCUGGACGAGAACAAGGUCAGGCAACCGAAGGCUUAAAGGAUCAUGCAGUAGUGUGAAUGAUGGAGUGACUGAAGAACAUUUGAUGUUUGUGUUACGGUCGAACGCUGGUGGCCACGAAGACUCGAGCAAAAAUCCACAAAACCAAACAGAACAGGCCAGCGGGGAAUAGGAUGUAGAGGAGGGAUCCAUCUGGUUUCACUCGAUGCAUGGAAUGAAUCACAAUUCACCCCACUACCCGAAAAAUUGCCUGUAUCUCACGCGCAGGGAGACACCAGCCCAGGAUGGGAAUUUUUAAUCAAGACUCAAGAUCCCUUCGAUGCAGAUUUCAUGAAAAGGUGUGUGUGUGUGUGUGUGUGUGUGUGUGUGUGAUACAGUGUUUCCUUGAUUUCAUCUCUAAAAUACA
Molecule: long non-coding RNA, 472 nt
Organism: Oreochromis aureus
Lineage: Eukaryota; Metazoa; Chordata; Actinopteri; Cichliformes; Cichlidae
Exons: 4
Source: RefSeq, a predicted model, not a curated record